This 253-nucleotide ribosomal RNA is filed under the name uncultured bacterium. RNAcentral describes it as "partial 16S ribosomal RNA". It matches the Rfam family "Bacterial small subunit ribosomal RNA", at positions 524 to 776 of the family's 1533-position model. The record is from RNAcentral.
UACAGAGGUCUCAAGCGUUGUUCGGAUUCAUUGGGCGUAAAGGGUGCGUAGGUGGCGCCGUAAGUCAGGUGUGAAAUCUCGGGGCUCAACCCCGAAACUGCAUUCGAUACUGCGUGGCUCGAGUACUGGAGAGGAGACUGGAAUUUACGGUGUAGCAGUGAAAUGCGUAGAUAUCGUAAGGAAGACCAGUGGCGAAGGCGAGUCUCUGGACAGUUACUGACGCUGAGGCACGAAGGCCAGGGGAGCAAACGGG